RNAcentral lists this ribosomal RNA (274 nucleotides) under uncultured bacterium. RNAcentral describes it as "partial 16S ribosomal RNA". It matches the Rfam family "Bacterial small subunit ribosomal RNA", at positions 523 to 796 of the family's 1533-position model. The record is from RNAcentral.
AUACGGAGGGUGCAAGCGUUGUCCGGAAUCAUUGGGUUUAAAGGGUCCGCAGGCGGUCAAUUAAGUCAGAGGUGAAAUCCCGUCGCUCAACGACGGAACUGCCUUUGAUACUGGUUGACUUGAGUUAUACGGAAGUAGAUAGAAUGUGUAGUGUAGCGGUGAAAUGCAUAGAUAUUACACAGAAUACCGAUUGCGAAGGCAGUCUACUACGUAUAUACUGACGCUCAUGGACGAAAGCGUGGGGAGCGAACAGGAUUAGAAACCCCAGUAGUCC